CCGAUGACGUAUUCUGACGAUAAGUAGCCAGUUUAGCCGGGCAAUACCAAUCGCACUCAUAUGUGUAAAUAACACACACGUGUCGACACAUACACCGGGGUGCCCUAAAGUUUUUGAUUGUUAUCAAUCGCUUAUGGGGUCGGUGUUAUGGGACACGUGGAGGCAUAACC
Molecule: small RNA, 170 nt
Filed under: Yersinia pestis KIM D27
Lineage: Bacteria; Pseudomonadati; Pseudomonadota; Gammaproteobacteria; Enterobacterales; Yersiniaceae
Description: t44 RNA
Rfam family: t44 RNA (bases 55-169)
About the family: This family consists of a number of bacterial RNA genes of between 135 and 170 bases in length. The t44 gene is found between the map and rpsB genes in all species in the full alignment apart from Shigella flexneri.
Source: RNAcentral